UGUCCAAUCCAGAUGUUGUCUUGGCACAGA
RNAcentral lists this non-coding RNA (30 nucleotides) under Rattus norvegicus (Norway rat). The record is from RNAcentral. Lineage: Eukaryota; Metazoa; Chordata; Mammalia; Rodentia; Muridae.